GACGAAGGAUGCAAGCGUUAUCCGGAUUCAUUGGGUUUAAAGGGAGCGUAGGUGGCCUUAUAAGUCAGUGGUGAAAUCUCGCAGCUUAACUGCGAAAUUGCCAUUGAUACUGUAGGGCUUGAGUAUAGUUGCCGUUGGCGGAAUAUGACAUGUAGUGGUGAAAUACAUAGAGAUGUCAUAGAACACCGAUUGCGAAGGCAGCUGACGAAACUAUAACUGACACUGAGGCUCGAAAGUGCGGGGAUCAAACAGG
This 253-nucleotide ribosomal RNA is filed under the name Bacteroidota bacterium. RNAcentral's name for it is "partial 16S ribosomal RNA". It matches the Rfam family "Bacterial small subunit ribosomal RNA", at positions 524 to 776 of the family's 1533-position model. The record is from RNAcentral. RNAcentral also lists the same sequence under 1 other name. Lineage: Bacteria; Pseudomonadati; Bacteroidota.